This 2685-nucleotide long non-coding RNA is filed under the name Capra hircus (goat). RNAcentral's name for it is "lncRNA (ENSCHIG00010027106.1)". Lineage: Eukaryota; Metazoa; Chordata; Mammalia; Artiodactyla; Bovidae. The record is from RNAcentral.
GAGGGUGAACGGAGAAGCGCUAAAUACAAUGACGGAAACUUGAGGAGGUUCAAACUGAUGGAUCAAACCUCGGAGACUGGAUUUAGCCUGCCCAGGUGGGCUCACAGAGGCUGGAAGGAAGAGAGUGAUCAGAAAUACGGCCCCAGGGCCUGGCGUGUCAGCAGACUCUUGGUGAGGGUAGGGACCACUGAGAUGGCCUGGAGCUCUCUCAAACAAACAGUCCUGCACCUGUUGAAAAUUCCUCUGCACCCUUCCUCAGCUCUUUUGUCAGCCUCCCUGUUAAUGUGAGAAGGAUAAUGCAUUUUCCAGGCCCACUUCAUCAUCCCCUGGCAACACACUCACAUGCGCACACACACAGCCAUCUAGACGGACCUAGCAGAGUCUCAGCAGAGAGGCGACUAGAUGUCCCCCCUGCAGUUGACUUCUUUGUCCCAAUCUCAGUCCAUGUCCCAUUUUGCUCCAGCUGGGUCCUGGGCCAGGACUGGGAGCUCAGGGAGAUUCAGGAUUCCAUCUUGGAGCUCACAUCUGGCACAGGACAGAAGCAGAGAAGAAGCUGGGAUGUUCAGUGUGCUAAGAGGUAGGGUCUGUACAAGGGCAGGGAUUUAGGGACAGGAAGGAUUGUAGGGGUCAGAGAAAGUGGGACUGAUUUAGAAAAUCUAAGAGCUACCCUUUAGCGAGGCAUCACUAGGUGUGCAGGCCACCUGGCUUCUAUGAUCUCAUUCAGUCCUCGAAUUUCCACCGGGAAGGAGGUCCCACUUCCUUUCUCUGGUUACAGAUGCAGAAACAAGCUACGGGAGGUUAAGAGCGCAGGUUAGUGGCAGAGAUGAGAUUUGACCCAGGGCUACCAACUCAACAGCCCCAUCUCUUAAACUCACUGGGUACUGAGGGAUGACAACCAGCUGUACCCAGAGUGGGUAGAGAAGACAUCAAAAGUGCUUCUGUGACUUAAGAAAAAUGGGAACCUGGAGUCUUCUGUGUUCCAGAGGGUACGUGAGAUGGCGUCCGGCUCUCUGUGCCUGUCACUCCUCAAGCCCUCCCGCCUGCUUGGCAGGGUGAAGGACAGGCUUUCACAGCAGACAAGAGAGGCCAGGGUCACCGCCAGCAAAGGCACACCCAGCGCAGUUCCUGCCGCCUAGACGGGUGCUCUGAUCCUCCGCUGGAAAUGUCACGCGGGAGACAGGCAGGCUCUGAUCUUCAGAGAGCUGUGGAGCAUCUGUGAUGACAUGUGGGCAUCAGGAUUUGCAUAUUUAUUAUAGAUAAGCUGUCAAAAUGUAUGUUGUCAAUUUCACCUUAUACUCCAGAUUUAAUGGUGCGCGUAAAGGACAGAAAAUNNNNNNNNNNNNNNNNNNNNNNNNNNNNNNNNNNNNNNNNNNNNNNNNNNNNNNNNNNNNNNNNNNNNNNNNNNNNNNNNNNNNNNNNNNNNNNNNNNNACAGAAAAUCUUUAAUAUUAAUAUUAAUAUGAUUUUAGAUUAUAAGACCGCAUUGUAGAUAUCAAUCAGCCAACCCUUAAGGACAUGUCACUCAAGUUGAUAUAGUUUAUAGAAAAUUAAUGUAAUCCAUCCUGUAUGAUCUAUUACAGGGGGGCAUGAAGAGAGAGAAGAAUGUGUGUGUGCUUGGGGCAGGGGGGCUGGGGGCCAUUAUUACUCAUCCACAGUUUUGCACUCGCGCUAAUUUGUGUUCGUGCCUGAAACAUCAGAGGGGGGACAUCCGCAUAUUUUAGGCUUGGCACAGACCUCAGAAAUCAGCCAUGCCAACUCCUUCGCUUUGCUGUGAGGGGGCCAGGGGAGAGAGAGGGCGAGAGUCACUGGGUGACUUGGAGGCAGAGGUGGGCUAGAGCCAGGCUUUGUGAUGGCCAGCCCUGCCUCUCUGCCCACUCUGUGCCCUGGGCUCCAGAAGUGGGAGAGCGUCAUUGGUGGAGGCCUCAGGGCUCCCUGGUACACUCCCAUCCCAUCCCCAGCACCCAAACCCAGUGUGGGAGGCUGCCUGAGCAAAUGGUUUCUUCAAACUGUUUCAAAGGAUCCCCAGGGUCCCCUGACCCUAUGAAGGACGCAUCCACAUGACCUGGGGCCUGGAGGGCUGUAGAGAUGUGAUUGUAGAUGGGCCAGGAAAACCCCCAAGUCCCCCAGUGCUCACUCAUGUGCAUCCCAACACCUGAAGCCUUGGCACUGACCCUCUACUUGUUCAAACCCUGGACUGAACAUUCACUAGCACCGUGGCAGCAUGAUGGGGACCAAGUGGCCCCAAGAAAUGUGUGAUGUCAUAAGACUUGCCUCUGAGUGGGAAGGGAUGAUCCCAAACACAUCGUAAGAUUGGGCCAAAGCCUCUGCCCUAGCCCAGGUUUGUGCCAGCAGCUCUAGGCAGGCCCUGAGGUAUUUGAAAAGGGCUUUUGGGUUCUGGGGAGCCAGCCAGGCUAGAAGGUGUGAACAGAGAGGACCAAUGACCUCUAGGCUCCUGCUCUGCUCUCGGUUCCCGUCAACCGCCUGCCCACCCAGGCCCAGCUCGCUCAAUUAUUUAGGGAAAAAAUCCAAAGUCCGUCACCCUCCACCUGCCAGGUACAUAGGUAACCCAGAGGCAUUCUGGACCAGAGAAACCAAAUCCAAAGCCAGAUCCAAAGUUCUCUAAAAUGCUUUAACACACUGGCUGACCCCACAGUCCUCUCUGGGCCUUCCUUUCUACACCCAUAAG